GCGUGAGUGAUGAAGGCCUUCGGGUUGUAAAGCUCUUUUAGUCGUGACGAUGAUGACGGUAGCGACAGAAAAAGCCCCGGCUAAAUUCGUGCCAGCAGCCGCGGUAAUACGAAUGGGGCAAGCGUUGUUCGGAAUCACUGGGCUUAAAGCGUACGCAGGCGGCCAUGCAAGUCAGAAGUGAAAUCCCUGGGCUUAACCCAGGAAUUGCUUUUGAAACUGCACGGCUAGAAUCCGGGAGAGGUUGGCGGAAUUCCGAGUGUAGCAGUGAAAUGCGC
This 275-nucleotide ribosomal RNA is filed under the name uncultured bacterium. RNAcentral describes it as "partial 16S ribosomal RNA". It matches the Rfam family "Bacterial small subunit ribosomal RNA", at positions 399 to 691 of the family's 1533-position model. The record is from RNAcentral.